AGUUUGAUCCUGGCUCAGAGCGAACGCUGGCGGCAGGCCUAACACAUGCAAGUCGAACGGACCCUUCGGGGUUAGUGGCGGACGGGUGAGUAACACGUGGGAACGUGCCUUUAGGUUCGGAAUAGCUCCUGGAAACGGGUGGUAAUGCCGAAUGUGCCCUUCGGGGGAAAGAUUUAUCGCCUUUAGAGCGGCCCGCGUCUGAUUAGCUAGUUGGUGAGGUAACGGCUCACCAAGGCGACGAUCAGUAGCUGGUCUGAGAGGAUGACCAGCCACACUGGGACUGAGACACGGCCCAGACUCCUACGGGAGGCAGCAGUGGGGAAUCUUGCGCAAUGGGCGAAAGCCUGACGCAGCCAUGCCGCGUGAAUGAUGAAGGUCUUAGGAUUGUAAAAUUCUUUCACCGGGGACGAUAAUGACGGUACCCGGAGAAGAAGCCCCGGCUAACUUCGUGCCAGCAGCCGCGGUAAU
This 468-nucleotide ribosomal RNA is filed under the name uncultured bacterium. Its description in RNAcentral is "bacterial SSU rRNA". It matches the Rfam family "Bacterial small subunit ribosomal RNA", at positions 10 to 524 of the family's 1533-position model. The record is from RNAcentral.